UCUGGUGACGCUAGCUAUGUGGUUCCACCUGUUCCCAUACCGAACACAGUAGUUAAGCACAUAUACGCCGAAAGUACUUGUCUGGAGACGGACUGGGAGGAUAGGGAGUUGCCAGUUA
RNAcentral lists this ribosomal RNA (118 nucleotides) under Selenomonas sp. ND2010. The record is from RNAcentral. Lineage: Bacteria; Bacillati; Bacillota; Negativicutes; Selenomonadales; Selenomonadaceae.